Molecule: non-coding RNA, 1070 nt
Organism: Vigna umbellata (rice bean)
Lineage: Eukaryota; Viridiplantae; Streptophyta; Magnoliopsida; Fabales; Fabaceae
Source: RefSeq, a predicted model, not a curated record
CAUAUAAUGAUUUCAAAUACAUUCUUUGAACUGUCAAAAACUAGUUUGCUCUCUCUCUGAUUGUGUCUGUAGCCUAUUUUUUAAAUUCAGAAGCAAGAUGGACUAAUGUAGUAUCUUGAAUCAGUAUUUACAUCUUAAGAAAUCUUAAAUUCUGCUUAUAUUCCUUUUACCAUAAUAAUUUGCACUUGCAUUUCAAUUUGGAUGCAGGAAGUUCACAGAUAGACUUGAGCACACAGUUUGUUAUUCACCACACUGUGUAGAUACGGAUUCUGAACUUAACUCAACUCCAAGAAGUUUGGGGAACCAUAAAUCUUUUAGGAGGCAGCUGCAAGAGCAAGAACAGGCCCUGGAACAUGAGAGGAGAAGCCUUGCACAACUGCAGUUUUCCUCAAAACCUUUAUCCAGCUCACCUCAUUUUGGUUUCUCCUUGGAUGAGACAAAAGUUUCAGAUGAUCACUUCAGUCUUCAGCCACCAGAAGAAUCUUUCCGUUUUCCACUGCAUGCCAAAUCCAUACAUACAGACGACAAUUUCUCUGAUGAGGAAAGCUAUCAAGGCCUCAACCUCCCAGACAGUCCAUUCGCGUUUCCAAUAGAUAGUGAGAUGUAAACAAAUCAUAGUUUCAGAUACAUAUACAAGAAAUAUAGAGUUCAAAUAGAUCAAGGCCCGAGGUAUCAGCUUUCUUUUGAUACACAAGACAAUUCUUGUGUUGAACUAUUUUCUCAACCAGUGCAGCAAUUUAGUCAAAAUUCCAGGUAGUGCAUACAUGCUGAAGAAGAGACAUUGGAAGGAGUUCCUCUUAACAAUUGAAAUUGGUGGCAUUAACAAAAAGUUAAUGAUACAUGUAAGAAGGUUAUAGCUUUUAAUUACAGACAGGAGCAGGUGGCAGAAGCUUUGAAUUUUAGAACAUAUAGUUAUAGUUAUGUUUUGUUUGAUGAAGUCAUUAGUGGAUGAAAAGAACUAGAUAUUUUGUUGUCCACAGUUUUUCUUAGCUUAAGAACCUUAGAAUCUGUCUAUGACUAAGGGAUGUAUUGACUGUGAACAACUUCAAUAAAGUUUUUUAUCCCUCAUA